This 66-nucleotide transfer RNA is filed under the name Eucera floralia. Its description in RNAcentral is "tRNA-Ser". The record is from RNAcentral. Lineage: Eukaryota; Metazoa; Arthropoda; Insecta; Hymenoptera; Apidae.
AAGAAAUAAAAUUCAAAUAAAAUUUCUAAUUUUAUAAUAAAUAUAAUUAAAUAUAUUAUUAUUUCU